RNAcentral lists this ribosomal RNA (385 nucleotides) under Serratia oryzae. Its description in RNAcentral is "bacterial SSU rRNA". It matches the Rfam family "Bacterial small subunit ribosomal RNA", at positions 352 to 729 of the family's 1533-position model. Lineage: Bacteria; Pseudomonadati; Pseudomonadota; Gammaproteobacteria; Enterobacterales; Yersiniaceae. The record is from RNAcentral.
CAGUGGGGAAUAUUGCACAAUGGGCGCAAGCCUGAUGCAGCCAUGCCGCGUGUGUGAAGAAGGCCUUAGGGUUGUAAAGCACUUUCAGCGAGGAGGAAGGCAUCNNANUUAAUACGUGUGGUGAUUGACGUUACUCGCAGAAGAAGCACCGGCUAACUCCGUGCCAGCAGCCGCGGUAAUACGGAGGGUGCAAGCGUUAAUCGGAAUUACUGGGCGUAAAGCGCACGCAGGCGGUUUGUUAAGUCAGAUGUGAAAUCCCCGAGCUUAACUUGGGAACUGCAUUUGAAACUGGCAGGCUAGAGUCUUGUAGAGGGGGGUAGAAUUCCAGGUGUAGCGGUGAAAUGCGUAGAGAUCUGGAGGAAUACCGGUGGCGAAGGCGGCCCCC